RNAcentral lists this long non-coding RNA (828 nucleotides) under Mytilus galloprovincialis (Mediterranean mussel). The record is from RNAcentral. Lineage: Eukaryota; Metazoa; Mollusca; Bivalvia; Mytilida; Mytilidae.
GGCACUGCUCACUGAUGAUACCCCCACCGAAAAUGUAUAUUUUUUUAAUAGUGUAAAAAUAUGUUAGUGUUUGGUAAACAGGAAUUUGUUGAGUGAUGAAUAUGAAAACGCAUCACACGGUAUUGAUAACUUAUAUAAACCCUGGAAGCAAAAUUUCCAAAAUCUAUAUAUCGUAGUUCCUGGGAAAAUUGUUUAAUGAUACAAGUGUUCGGUAAACAGAAAGUUAUCGAGUCAUGAAUCUGAAAACGCUUCACACGGUAUAGCUGACUUAUGACCUAUAUAAACCUUGAAACCAAAUUUCAAAAAUCUUUGUAAUAUAGAAAAAUGCGACGAAAAAUAUUCAUGGGACGGACAGAACUGACGGACAGAUUGACUGAAUAAUAUCAUAAUCAACUAUUGACGGAAUAGAGUCAUCUAAAAUCUGUCUCAUAUCAUUGUAGUAUGGGCAAAUAAAAAAGAAAUGUUUGCUAUUCUCAACAGGAUUACAAAAAUUGCACAUUUUCUUAAGGCCGCCAAGACUGAUACCGAACAAAAAAAAAACAAUAACUGUGGAUUCAUUUAUCUUCGUGGGUAUCAAUUUUCCUUGAUUGAGGAAAACUUACGUUUUCGGGGAUAUUGAAUUUCGUGGUUUUGUCAAUCUUUGCAUACAAAGCCUAUACCAAAUUUGUAAUGCGUUGAAUAUUUAAAUAUUUAAAUUCGUGGUUCACCCGUACCCAUGAAACCCACGAAAAUUGGUAUCCUACGAAUAAUAAUGAAUCUACAGUAUAGCAGACAGCAACCGACAACAACCAACUCCUAGGUUUGGACUGGCACCAAUAUAAUGAUGCG